RNAcentral lists this ribosomal RNA (386 nucleotides) under Gephyrocapsa cf. oceanica. Its description in RNAcentral is "partial small subunit ribosomal RNA". It matches the Rfam family "Eukaryotic small subunit ribosomal RNA", at positions 582 to 975 of the family's 1831-position model. The record is from RNAcentral. Lineage: Eukaryota; Haptophyta; Isochrysidales; Noelaerhabdaceae.
AUUCCAGCUCCAAUAGCGUAUAUUAAAGUUGUUGCAGUUAAAACGCUCGUAGUCGGAUUUCGGGGCGGGCCGACCGGUCUGCCGAUGGGUAUGCACUGGCCGGCGCGUCCUUCCACCCGGAGACCGCGCCUACUCUUAACUGAGCGGGCGCGGGAGACGGGUCUUUUACUUUGAAAAAAUCAGAGUGUUUCAAGCAGGCAGUCGCUCUUGCAUGGAUUAGCAUGGGAUAAUGAAAUAGGACUAUAGUCUCGUCGUUGGUUACGUGGACUGCAGUAAUGAUUAAUAGGGAUAGUUGGGGGCAUUAGUAUUUAUUAGCUAGAGGUGGAAUUCUCUAAUUUGAUAGAGACUAACUUAUGCGAAAGCAUUUGCCAAGGAUGUUUUCAUUA